GAGGAGUAUAGGAGGUGAGUCUAGAGAUGGAGUAUAGGAGGUGAGUCUAGAGACGGAGUAUAGGAGGUGAGUCUAGAGGCGGAGUAUAGGAGGUGAGUCUAGAGACGGAGUAUAGGAGGUGA
RNAcentral lists this long non-coding RNA (122 nucleotides) under Haliotis rubra (blacklip abalone). RNAcentral describes it as "uncharacterized LOC124254178, transcript variant X2". The record is from RNAcentral. Lineage: Eukaryota; Metazoa; Mollusca; Gastropoda; Lepetellida; Haliotidae.